Molecule: transfer RNA, 103 nt
Filed under: Capronia coronata CBS 617.96
Lineage: Eukaryota; Fungi; Ascomycota; Eurotiomycetes; Chaetothyriales; Herpotrichiellaceae
Rfam family: tRNA
About the family: Transfer RNA (tRNA) molecules are approximately 80 nucleotides in length.
Source: Rfam by way of RNAcentral
GGCCGCGUGGCCUAAUGGUUAAGGCGUUGGUUUUCGGUAGCCCUGACUAGGGCGCUCAUAAGUUGAUCACCAAAGAUUGGGAGUUCGAAUCUUCCCGCGGUAC